Molecule: non-coding RNA, 29 nt
Filed under: Rattus norvegicus (Norway rat)
Lineage: Eukaryota; Metazoa; Chordata; Mammalia; Rodentia; Muridae
Source: RNAcentral
UAUAUAUAUAUAACUGACUUCUUGGGCAA